AAUGCUGUGUGCUUUUUAGUUUAAUUAUCUGUCAAAGUCGUGUUGAAAUAUUUGAAUAUAUUAUAGAUAGAUACUCACUUGUUUGCAUAAACCAUAACAUUAUUUAUUACUUAAUAAGGAUUUAUUUCACUUCAAAAUCAAUGCUAAUCAGAAUGACUUCUGUUUGAUUUAUGUUCAAUUUUGCAAACACUCAUCUAAACAUACACUGAAUUAGUUGUUCUGAGGUUGAUAUGGUGCUGGUAUGAUCAUACCUGGAUCUUCUAUUGUGAUAUUUUUUGUUGGUGAUGCAGGGCAAAAUCCAGGGAAAACGGCUGCUAUAAUAGUAGGAGGAGUAGCUGCGGUGGCUUUUGUGGUUAUAUGUUUGUUAUUUGCUAGAAGUUUGAAGAAGAAACAUGAUGAUUAUUGACAGAAGAAUAUGAUUUCUGAGAGAAGGCAAAACUAUUCUUUUUGGUGCAUUGUUUUUGCAUGUUUAGUUGAUGGAUGAAGGGGGAAAAGUUUGUGGUAAAUAGAGCAUGCUUGAUACAGAAAUAAUACAGAAUGGUUCAGUGUUAUAGUUAUUGUAGUAAGAUAAUAUUGUGUUGUUGGGAAGAGCAAUGUGAUUAGAACAUGAAAGUUAGAUUCUUUUUCACAAGGGUGUAACUGUAAAUUACCCAACUCAAUGAAUGAAUGUUUGUCAUUCCAAGUGGAUGAAAAUUUUGGACUUUACCUUUA
Non-coding RNA from Vigna umbellata (rice bean), 711 nucleotides. The record is from RefSeq and is a predicted model, not a curated record. NCBI's taxonomy places the organism in Eukaryota, Viridiplantae, Streptophyta, Magnoliopsida, Fabales, Fabaceae.